Molecule: ribosomal RNA, 151 nt
Filed under: uncultured bacterium
Lineage: Bacteria
Description: partial 16S ribosomal RNA
Rfam family: Bacterial small subunit ribosomal RNA
Source: RNAcentral
CGCGCAUCAGCCAUGGCGCGGUGAAUACGUUCCCGGGCCUUGUACACACCGCCCGUCAAGCCAUGGGAGCCGGGGGGUGCUUGAAGUGCGUCGCCGCAAGGCGCGCCCUAGAGCAAAACCGGUGACUGGGGCUAAGUCGUAACAAGGUACC